Molecule: ribosomal RNA, 1372 nt
Filed under: uncultured bacterium
Lineage: Bacteria
Description: bacterial SSU rRNA
Rfam family: Bacterial small subunit ribosomal RNA
Source: RNAcentral
GAUGAACGCUGGCGGCGUGCCUAAUACAUGCAAGUCGAGCGAACGGACGAGAAGCUUGCUUCUCUGAUGUUAGCGGCGGACGGGUGAGUAACACGUGGAUAACCUACCUAUAAGACUGGGAUAACUUCGGGAAACCGGAGCUAAUACCGGAUAAUAUUUUGAACCGCAUGGUUCAAAAGUGAAAGACGGUCUUGCUGUCACUUAUAGAUGGAUCCGCGCUGCACUAGCUAGUUGGUAAGGUAACGGCUUACCAAGGCAACGAUGCAUAGCCGACCUGAGAGGGUGAUCGGCCACACUGGAACUGAGACACGGUCCAGACUCCUACGGGAGGCAGCAGUAGGGAAUCUUCCGCAAUGGGCGAAAGCCUGACGGAGCAACGCCGCGCGAGUGAUGAAGGUCUUCGGAUCGUAAAACUCUGUUAUUAGGGAAGAACAUAUGUGUAAGUAACUGUGCACAUCUUGACGGUACCUAAUCAGAAAGCCACGGCUAACUACGUGCCAGCAGCCGCGGUAAUACGUAGGUGGCAAGCGUUAUCCGGAAUUAUUGGGCGUAAAGCGCGCGUAGGCGGUUUUUUAAGUCUGAUGUGAAAGCCCACGGCUCAACCGUGGAGGGUCAUUGGAAACUGGAAAACUUGAGUGCAGAAGAGGAAAGUGGAAUUCCAUGUGUAGCGGUGAAAUGCGCAGAGAUAUGGAGGAACACCAGUGGCGAAGGCGACUUUCUGGUCUGUAACUGACGCUGAUGUGCGAAAGCGUGGGGAUCAAACAGGAUUAGAUACCCUGGUAGUCCACGCCGUAAACGAUGAGUGCUAAGUGUUAGGGGGUUUCCGCCCCUUAGUGCUGCAGCUAACGCAUUAAGCACUCCGCCUGGGGAGUACGACCGCAAGGUUGAAACUCAAAGGAAUUGACGGGGACCCGCACAAGCGGUGGAGCAUGUGGUUUAAUUCGAAGCAACGCGAAGAACCUUACCAAAUCUUGACAUCCUUUGACAACACUAGAGAUAGAGCCUUCCCCUUCGGGGGACAAAGUGACAGGUGGUGCAUGGUUGUCGUCAGCUCGUGUCGUGAGAUGUUGGGUUAAGUCCCGCAACGAGCGCAACCCUUAAGCUUAGUUGCCAUCAUUAAGUUGGGCACUCUAAGUUGACUGCCGGUGACAAACCGGAGGAAGGUGGGGAUGACGUCAAAUCAUCAUGCCCCUUAUGAUUUGGGCUACACACGUGCUACAAUGGACAAUACAAAGGGCAGCGAAACCGCGAGGUCAAGCAAAUCCCAUAAAGUUGUUCUCAGUUCGGAUUGUAGUCUGCAACUCGACUACAUGAAGCUGGAAUCGCUAGUAAUCGUAGAUCAGCAUGCUACGGUGAAUACGUUCCCGGGUCU